Triticum aestivum (bread wheat) is the source of this 93-nucleotide non-coding RNA. The record is from Rfam. Lineage: Eukaryota; Viridiplantae; Streptophyta; Magnoliopsida; Poales; Poaceae.
UUUGUACUCCCUCUGUCCCAAAAUAAGUGACUCAAAUUUGUACAAAGUUAAUACAAAUUUGAGUCACUUAUUUUGGGAUGGAGGGAGUAGUAU